RNAcentral lists this ribosomal RNA (254 nucleotides) under uncultured bacterium. RNAcentral describes it as "partial 16S ribosomal RNA". It matches the Rfam family "Bacterial small subunit ribosomal RNA", at positions 524 to 776 of the family's 1533-position model. The record is from RNAcentral.
CACGUAGGGUGCGAGCGUUGUCCGGAAUUAUUGGGCGUAAAGAGCUCGUAGGCGGUGUGUCGCGUCGGCCGUGAAAACCUGCAGCUUAACUGUGGGCUUGCGGUCGAUACGGGCAUCACUGGAGUUCGGCAGGGGAGACUGGCAUUCCUGGUGUAGCGGUGAAAUGCGCAGAUAUCAGGAGGAACACCGGUGGCGAAGGCGGGUCUCUGGGCCGAUACUGACGCUGAGGAGCGAAAGCGUGGGGAGCGAACAGG